GGUCCCGCCUGCCCUGUGACCCCCAGUUUAACGGCCGCGGUAUUUUGACCGUGCAAAGGUAGCGCAAUCACUUGUCCCUUAAAUGAGGACCUGUAUGAAUGGCACAACGAGGGCUUAACUGUCUCCUUUCCCCGGUCAAUGAAAUUGAUCUUCCCGUGCAGAAGCGGGAAUCCUAACAUAAGACGAGAAGACCCUAUGGAGCUUUAGACUCCAGAAUAGACCAUGUCAGCCACUCCCGUUAAACACAGUAGCAACUAUUGAGCCUCUAUUCUCUGUCUUUGGUUGGGGCGACCACGGGGAAGAAAAAAUCCCCCAUGUGGACCGGGAGCACCAAUCUCACUCCCACAACCACGAGCCACAGCUCUAAUGCGCAGAAUUUCUGACCAUAUAGAUCCGGCAACUAGCCGAUCAACGGACCGAGUUACCCUAGGGAUAACAGCGCAAUCCCCUUUAAGAGUCCCUAUCGACAAGGGGGUUUACGACCUCGAUGUUGGAUCAAGACAUCCUAAUGGUGCAGCCGCUAUUAAGGGUUCGUUUGUUCAACGAUUAAAGUCUU
RNAcentral lists this ribosomal RNA (556 nucleotides) under Moolgarda crenilabis (fringelip mullet). Its description in RNAcentral is "Crenimugil crenilabis (fringelip mullet) partial 16S ribosomal RNA". It matches the Rfam family "Bacterial large subunit ribosomal RNA", at positions 1851 to 2597 of the family's 2925-position model. The record is from RNAcentral. Lineage: Eukaryota; Metazoa; Chordata; Actinopteri; Mugiliformes; Mugilidae.